UACUGAAAAAGGCAAACUUAUUGAAAGAUAGGGGCGCAAAGUUAUGGGCCUAAGGUAUUGAACUAUGGCAGCCAAACCACCGGU
Molecule: regulatory RNA element, 84 nt
Organism: Paenibacillus sp. Leaf72
Lineage: Bacteria; Bacillati; Bacillota; Bacilli; Caryophanales; Paenibacillaceae
Rfam family: c-di-GMP-I riboswitch aptamer
About the family: GEMM was predicted in a large-scale screen for bacterial structured RNA regulatory elements. Genes associated with GEMM are involved in a diverse array of functions, including chemotaxis regulation, signal transduction, secretion and chitin.
Source: Rfam